Molecule: long non-coding RNA, 735 nt
Filed under: Rattus norvegicus (Norway rat)
Lineage: Eukaryota; Metazoa; Chordata; Mammalia; Rodentia; Muridae
Description: long non-coding RNA NONRATT031409
Source: RNAcentral
CUUCGGCACCAGCUUUGAUGUCAGGGAGUUAAGCCGAGCUGAGUUAAGCAACCCACACUGUUUUACUCCACAAACAGCCAUACAGGUAAGAUUCAGAAAGCUGCCCCAACUCGUUUUCUGCUUUGCUCUGGACUAUAAAGCCAGGCCUCCAGCUGCAUGAGUCACAGGACUGUCUGGUCUCCGAGACCGAAGGUCGUCUUGGAAGAGAUGACAGUGACAUCUUUGGCUAAGGAUGCUGGGAAAAGCUCACCGCGUUGUCACUGCUACGGCCCCCAACAAUCAGUUGAGCAGCCUUCUGGAGACUUUUUUCAGAGCUGUCUCUUAGCUUAGCUCAUGAAUUCCCUUUUGACUGCAGGCCUAAGAGGAAAGGCCAGCAGUAAUAGAGGCUUUGCCAGCCUGAGGAGGUGUGCAUAAACUCACCUCCCCCAUGCCUGCAUGACGUAAGCCUUCUUAGAGGAGCAUGAGAGGCUGCAGCAAAGAGGAGAGCAGAUGGAUUUUGUUUGGCUUCUCAGAGCUUCAGAUCUGAAACAACCUUAACAGCCAACAUGGGGCCGGGGGUGGAGACACAGAGACACAAACGUGAUGUCAGGACAAGGACAAUGCAGUUCCAUCAGGUAUACGCAUCACUGGAAAAGGAUGUGCAGCCCCUUAAGGAAAGCAUGCAUUAGGUAUUGAUGAAGAAUAAUCUACAAGCUGUACUAUUUAUUAAGAAUAAAAGUGAAGAUCAAAGCAGAA